This 478-nucleotide ribosomal RNA is filed under the name uncultured Bacteroidota bacterium. RNAcentral's name for it is "bacterial SSU rRNA". It matches the Rfam family "Bacterial small subunit ribosomal RNA", at positions 26 to 504 of the family's 1533-position model. Lineage: Bacteria; Pseudomonadati; Bacteroidota. The record is from RNAcentral.
AGGAUGAACGCUAGCGGGAGGCCUAACACAUGCAAGCCGAGCGGUAGAAGAUCUUCGGAUCUUUGAGAGCGGCGUACGGGUGCGGAACACGUGUGCAACCUGCCUUUAUCUGGGAGAUAGCCCGGGGAAACCCGGAUUAAUAUCCCAUAAUAUCUCGUCAGGCAUCUGACGAAAUUGAAAGCUCCGGCGGAUAGAGAUGGGCACGCGCAAGAUUAGAUAGUUGGUGAGGUAACGGCUCACCAAGUCAGUGAUCUUUAGGGGGCCUGAGAGGGUGAUCCCCCACACUGGUACUGAGACACGGACCAGACUCCUACGGGAGGCAGCAGUGAGGAAUAUUGGACAAUGGGUGAGAGCCUGAUCCAGCCAUCCCGCGCGAAGGACGACGGCCCUAUGGGUUGUAAACUUCUUUUGUACAGGGAUAAACCUACUUACGUGUAAGUAGCUGAAGGUACUGUACGAAUAAGCACCGGCUAACUCC